AGAUCAUUAGUCUAACGGACAGAACACUUCGCUACGAACGAAGAGAUAUAGGUUCGACUCCUAUAUGAUCUACUA
Molecule: transfer RNA, 75 nt
Filed under: Eubacterium ruminantium
Lineage: Bacteria; Bacillati; Bacillota; Clostridia; Eubacteriales; Eubacteriaceae
Description: tRNA_Arg_ACG
Rfam family: tRNA
About the family: Transfer RNA (tRNA) molecules are approximately 80 nucleotides in length. Their secondary structure includes four short double-helical elements and three loops (D, anti-codon, and T loops). Further hydrogen bonds mediate the characteristic L-shaped molecular structure. tRNAs have two regions of fundamental functional importance: the anti-codon, which is responsible for specific mRNA codon recognition, and the 3' end, to which the tRNAs corresponding amino acid is attached (by aminoacyl-tRNA synthetases). tRNAs cope with the degeneracy of the genetic code in two manners: having more than one tRNA (with a specific anti-codon) for a particular amino acid; and 'wobble' base-pairing, i.e. permitting non-standard base-pairing at the 3rd anti-codon position.
Source: RNAcentral